RNAcentral lists this ribosomal RNA (1400 nucleotides) under Pediococcus pentosaceus. RNAcentral's name for it is "16S ribosomal RNA". It matches the Rfam family "Bacterial small subunit ribosomal RNA". The record is from RNAcentral. Lineage: Bacteria; Bacillati; Bacillota; Bacilli; Lactobacillales; Lactobacillaceae.
GAGUGGCGAACGGGUGAGUAACACGUGGGUAACCUGCCCAGAAGUAGGGGAUAACACCUGGAAACAGAUGCUAAUACCGUAUAACAGAGAAAACCGCAUGGUUUUCUUUUAAAAGAUGGCUCUGCUAUCACUUCUGGAUGGACCCGCGGCGUAUUAGCUAGUUGGUGAGGUAAAGGCUCACCAAGGCAGUGAUACGUAGCCGACCUGAGAGGGUAAUCGGCCACAUUGGGACUGAGACACGGCCCAGACUCCUACGGGAGGCAGCAGUAGGGAAUCUUCCACAAUGGACGCAAGUCUGAUGGAGCAACGCCGCGUGAGUGAAGAAGGGUUUCGGCUCGUAAAGCUCUGUUGUUAAAGAAGAACGUGGGUAAGAGUAACUGUUUACCCAGUGACGGUAUUUAACCAGAAAGCCACGGCUAACUACGUGCCAGCAGCCGCGGUAAUACGUAGGUGGCAAGCGUUAUCCGGAUUUAUUGGGCGUAAAGCGAGCGCAGGCGGUCUUUUAAGUCUAAUGUGAAAGCCUUCGGCUCAACCGAAGAAGUGCAUUGGAAACUGGGAGACUUGAGUGCAGAAGAGGACAGUGGAACUCCAUGUGUAGCGGUGAAAUGCGUAGAUAUAUGGAAGAACACCAGUGGCGAAGGCGGCUGUCUGGUCUGCAACUGACGCUGAGGCUCGAAAGCAUGGGUAGCGAACAGGAUUAGAUACCCUGGUAGUCCAUGCCGUAAACGAUGAUUACUAAGUGUUGGAGGGUUUCCGCCCUUCAGUGCUGCAGCUAACGCAUUAAGUAAUCCGCCUGGGGAGUACGACCGCAAGGUUGAAACUCAAAAGAAUUGACGGGGGCCCGCACAAGCGGUGGAGCAUGUGGUUUAAUUCGAAGCUACGCGAAGAACCUUACCAGGUCUUGACAUCUUCUGACAGUCUAAGAGAUUAGAGGUUCCCUUCGGGGACAGAAUGACAGGUGGUGCAUGGUUGUCGUCAGCUCGUGUCGUGAGAUGUUGGGUUAAGUCCCGCAACGAGCGCAACCCUUAUUACUAGUUGCCAGCAUUAAGUUGGGCACUCUAGUGAGACUGCCGGUGACAAACCGGAGGAAGGUGGGGACGACGUCAAAUCAUCAUGCCCCUUAUGACCUGGGCUACACACGUGCUACAAUGGAUGGUACAACGAGUCGCGAGACCGCGAGGUUAAGCUAAUCUCUUAAAACCAUUCUCAGUUCGGACUGUAGGCUGCAACUCGCCUACACGAAGUCGGAAUCGCUAGUAAUCGCGGAUCAGCAUGCCGCGGUGAAUACGUUCCCGGGCCUUGUACACACCGCCCGUCACACCAUGAGAGUUUGUAACACCCAAAGCCGGUGGGGUAACCUUUUAGGAGCUAGCCGUCUAAGGUGGGACAGAUGAUUAGGG